RNAcentral lists this long non-coding RNA (204 nucleotides) under Oryza brachyantha (malo sina). RNAcentral's name for it is "long non-coding RNA (OBRA_LNC000200)". Lineage: Eukaryota; Viridiplantae; Streptophyta; Magnoliopsida; Poales; Poaceae. The record is from RNAcentral.
CGCCUCUUCCAUCGCAGUCCACGGCACAGGUCCGCGUAGUCCAUCCAUCCACGCCCUUCAGUCCUUCACGGGGGAGGCCGCUACGCCGCGAGGAAGAGACGGCGGCGAGAGAGGGAGGAGGAGGAGGAGGAGGAGGAGGGGGCGAGGAAGAUGGAGCACGUGAUCGAGGUCGAGCCGGGCCGCCCGGCCGCCGACCGCCGGCCC